This 2890-nucleotide long non-coding RNA is filed under the name Homo sapiens (human). RNAcentral describes it as "PREDICTED lncRNA (TCONS_00028503)". Lineage: Eukaryota; Metazoa; Chordata; Mammalia; Primates; Hominidae. The record is from RNAcentral.
GUUUCCCCCUGAGGGAAGUAUACCUGUCCUGCCAGCCUUGGUCUCUGGCAGGGAAGGUCCUUCCAACAGAGAGGGAAUUGCUUAGAAUUGACUCAACACUGCCUCCUUGCUGAAUGGAUAAUUCAAGCAAACAACUCAAGAGCUGGAUGCUGCCCAGACAGAAGUCCUCCUAGCAUCUUUCUUCUGCCUUCCCCUGCUCCUGUCCCUGAAACCUUUUCUUCAAAAGAAGUGGAAAAGAGGAACUGGGAACCCAUAUAGCAACAGCAUCACCUGGAAUGAAUUCCUUUAGAACAUACUGUCUUGGAAAUCUGAAGCCUGCAGGGCUGGACAGGCAAGAAGAGCAGUGAGCACUGCAUGAACCUGCAUGUACUCCGAAAUAUUUUUCAAAUGGAAAAGAAAACAGAGAACACAAUUUUCAAAAUAUCUAGAGCCCUCCAAGAAGUCUUUGUAGAGAUCUAUAAAAUCUCAAGGCAAUUUAAAGAAUAGAAAAAUGUUUUAGAAACACUAUUCUCUCCACAUCCUGGGGCAGCAGCCUUCUCCAAAGAAACAGAAAGAAGGAAAUGGAUUGCCUUAGCAAAAAAACAAAUGAAGACACUCCAAAUAACAGAAGAAUGGGAAGGCUACAGACCUUGAAGUCAGAAGAAAAUUUCCUCUCCUUGCCCCGUUUCUCCUUAAAUGGAUCACCAGUACAGUCUCUUACUUCUAGAGCCAUGUUAAGCUUUCUUCCCCAAAGUUGUAAUGUCCUUCUUUUGGUUGUGUCGUGUCCUAAAAUCCUACUCUUUGGUACAAGAUGAAGGUAUAUGAAGAGAUAAUGAAGGAAACAAAUUCAAUGUGUUUGCCAAGAACACAGUCUUUUAAAUAACUCUUAAAGGGUUCGUUUAAAACAGUGUAAUAAAUUGUGGUAAUCUAGUACACAAAGCUAGUAGGAACCUCGUUUAUUAAUAAUAUUUCAACAUUGAGCAGUAGAGGGCAGCACUAUCCUUCUUUUGCAAAAUGUUGAGCACUCUUGAGAAGGAAAAUAAAGGCAAAGCUCCUGACCCCUGUGUCUGUGUUUACUUUUACCAUUAAAAAAAAACAAAAAAUUGGAGUAUUUUUAUUAUGGUUUAGGUGAUUAUGUAUAAAGAAUGUCAGAGCCUGCAUUACCUGGAAGUGGUGCACCAGGUAAUGCAAAAAACACGGAAGGUUUGAGGUCCCCCACUCAGGAUAUGGGUUCUGUCUAGUAAAGAUAAACAGUAGCUUGACCCUGGGUAAUCAGAUAGGGUUAUUGUAUGAACAGACCUAAUGCUCCUGCACGUUCUGGAUAGAAGUCAAUCUACUGAAAUAGCAGGAUGUAGUUUUAAAAAAUGUGUGUAACUCAUAUAGUCUUAGCCCUGAUAAGUGCUUCUAAAUUCUUAUUCACUGCCUUUAUUCUGCUGUGUUAGUGUUGCUCUCUGUCAUACGUGGGUCAGGUCAGAACUAGCUCAAAUACAGUAUGUGUAUUAUGACUUUAAGGAGUGGUGUCAGACAAGAUGGGUAAAGAAUGUCUUUCAUGGGACUGCAGUUGGCUAAAUGGCUGUGUAUAAGUAGUGAAAUUGAAGCCUUGUAUGCUCGUCGUCAUUCUAUCACAGUAUGAUUUGAGUUUCCCUAACCGGUAAACAGCAAGAAAAAAUGAUCUGUUAUUUUUUACUAAAGUUACUUGAUGCUCUUUAGCAAGCUGACAGAAUAAUUCUAAUUUUAGCAAAUACAAAACCAUGGUAAUCCUAGCACAUUUGGAUUCUGUUUAACCCUGAAAACUCUUUUGGCAGCAAAUCUUCAAUGCCAAUUUAGAUAAAUCCCACUAGGAAUAAGCACUGAAAGACGUUGAGUCUAGUUCCCAGCUCUGCCAUGUGAAGUUGGGCAAAUUACAGUCUCUGAGCUUUUAUUUCAUCUGUUAAAUGGAGAUAAUACCUCCUAGAUUUAUUAAAAGGGUCAAUUUAGAAAAUAUGUAUUAAAAUGGUUUGAAAGCCAUUUAAGUACCUAAUGAAUAUUUCUAUCACUGUAGCCCAAAAAGAUUCCUGCCUAGAAGACUUUAUGUCUCUUCUCCUCAUUUGGUAUCAUUCUAUUGCCUGAGAUUGUUAAUUAACUUUUAUGUAUACUCAAUAUUUUCUCCCAACUUGGUUGCUAGUUCCUUGAGAACUGAAACCAUCAAUUGCACUUCUUGGUAUCCUCCACAAUAAGGUAUCUAGGUACUCAAAUAUUUGUUGGUUGAUUAAAAACAUAAACCACAAGACAUAAUUAACUCUUUUUAAAAUUGUGGUAAAAAAACAUGUAUUUACCAUCUUAAUCAUUUUUAAGUAUACUGUAUAUUAGUGUUUACUAUAUGCACAUUGUUGUGCAACACAUCUCUAGGACUUUUUCAUCCAGAAUUCUUUUUUUUUGAGACAGAGUCUUGCUGUGUCGCCCAAGCUGGAGUUCAGUGGCACCAUCCUGGCUCACUGCAACUGCUGCCUCCCAGGUUCAAGUGAUUCUCCUGCCUCAGCCUCCCGAGUAGCUGGGAUUACAUGUGCCUGCCACCACGCCUGGCAAGUUUUUGUAUUUUUAGUAGAAAUGGUGUUUUACCAUGUUGGCCAAGACUGGCCUAGAACUCCAGACCUCAAGUGAUCCACCCGCCUCAGCAGCCCAAAGUGGUGGGAUUACAGGCAUGAGCAACUGUGCCUGGCCUAGCCAUUUUCUAUAAACCUGAAAAUAGAUGCCAGAAAAGAAGGUGCCGCUAUAAAAUGCUUUCUUGAGUGAUUUAUGUCUAACAUACAAUUAAACAUUUAUGAGAAGGAAAUUAUCAGGUUAAAAUAUAAACUCACUUGCCAAUUAUUUGAUUUUCAGGAUAUCUGACUUUUGUUAAUUACUGAAAAUAAAGUAUUAUUUCUAAUCACUA